Molecule: long non-coding RNA, 349 nt
Organism: Oncorhynchus keta (chum salmon)
Lineage: Eukaryota; Metazoa; Chordata; Actinopteri; Salmoniformes; Salmonidae
Exons: 3
Source: RefSeq, a predicted model, not a curated record
UCCAGAAGCUCUUUGUCUAAUCCGAGGUGAGUGAUCGCUGCCCUGAUAUCCAGAAGCUCUUUGUCUAAUCCGAGGUGAGUGAUCGCUGCCCUGAUAUCCAGAAGCUCUUUGUCUAAUCCGAGGUGAGUGAUCGCUGCCCUGAUAUCCAGAAGCUCUUUGUCUAAUCCGAGGUGAGUGAUCGCUGCCCUGAUAUCCAGAAGCUCUUUGUCUAAUCCGAGGUGAGUGAUCGCUGCCCUGAUAUCCAGAAGCUCUUUGUCUAAUCCGAGGUGAGUGAUCGCUGCCCUGAUAUCCAGAAGCUCUUUGUCUAAUCCGAGGUGAGUGAUCGCUGCCCUGAUAUACAGAAGCUCUU